Molecule: ribosomal RNA, 380 nt
Filed under: uncultured bacterium
Lineage: Bacteria
Also listed under: 1 other name
Description: bacterial SSU rRNA
Rfam family: Archaeal small subunit ribosomal RNA
Source: RNAcentral
AUACCAGCACCCCGAGUGGUCGGGACGAUUAUUGGGCCUAAAGCAUCCGUAGCCGGUCUUGCAAGUCUUCCGUUAAAUCCAGCUGCUUAACAGAUGGGCUGCGGAGGAUACUACAAGGCUAGGAGGCGGGAGAGGCAAGCGGUACUCAGUGGGUAGGGGUAAAAUCCUCUGAUCCAUUGAAGACCACCAGUGGCGAAGGCGGCUUGCCAGAACGCGCUCGACGGUGAGGGAUGAAAGCUGGGGGAGCAAACCGGAUUAGAUACCCGGGUAGUCCCAGCUGUAAACGAUGCAGACUCGGUGAUGGGCCGGCUUUAUGCCGGCUCAGUGCCGCAGGGAAGCCGUUAAGUCUGCCGCCUGGGGAGUACGGUCGCAAGACUGAA